Molecule: ribosomal RNA, 443 nt
Filed under: uncultured bacterium
Lineage: Bacteria
Description: partial 16S ribosomal RNA
Rfam family: Bacterial small subunit ribosomal RNA
Source: RNAcentral
CCUACGGGAGGCAGCAGUGGGGAAUAUUGGGCAAUGGAGGCAACUCUGACCCAGCAACGCCGCGUGAAUGAUGAAGGUCUUCGGAUUGUAAAGUUCUUUUCUAAGGGAAGAAGAAAGUGACGGUACCUUAGGAAUAAGCCUCGGCUAACUACGUGCCAGCAGCCGCGGUAAUACGUAGGAGGCAAGCGUUAUACGGAAUGACUGGGCGUAAAGGGUGCGUAGGUGGGGUGCCAAGUUAGUAGCGCAACUCCGGAGCUCAACGUCGGAACUACUACUAAAACUGUUGGACUUGAGUGCAGGAGUGCCAAUCUGCCUUCCUAGUGUAGCGGUGUAAUGCGUCGAUAUUAGGAGGCACCCCAGUGGCGACGGCGGCUUGCUAGACUGUACCUGACACUGCGGCACGACCGCGUGUGGAGCACACAGGAUUAGCUACCCCAGUAGUC